RNAcentral lists this ribosomal RNA (433 nucleotides) under uncultured bacterium. Its description in RNAcentral is "partial 16S ribosomal RNA". It matches the Rfam family "Bacterial small subunit ribosomal RNA", at positions 29 to 507 of the family's 1533-position model. The record is from RNAcentral.
AACGAACGCUGGCGGCAUGCCUAACACAUGCAAGUCGAACGAGACCUUCGGGUCUAGUGGCGCACGUGUGCGUAACGCGUUGGAACCUGCCCUUAGGUUCGGAAUAACUCCCCGAAAUGGGUGCUAAUACCGGAUAAUGUCUUCGGACCAAAGAUUUAUCGCCUUUGGAUGGGUCCGCGUUGGUUUAGCUAGUUGGUAGGGUAAAAGCCUACCAAGGCGACGAUCCAUAGCUGGUCUGAGAGGAUGAUCAGCCACAAUGGGACUGAGACACGGCCCAGACUCCUACGGGAGGCAGCAGUAGGGAAUAUUGGACAAUGGGCGAAAGCCUGAUCCAGCAAUGCCGCGUGAGUGAUGAAGGCCUUAGGGUUGUAAAGCUCUUUUACACGGGAUGAUAAUGACAGUACCGGGAGAAUAAGCUCCGGCUAACUCCGUG